This is a non-coding RNA of Chytriomyces sp. MP71, 72 nucleotides long. The record is from the annotation of a GenBank genome assembly. Lineage: Eukaryota; Fungi; Chytridiomycota; Chytridiomycetes; Chytridiales; Chytriomycetaceae.
GGGGGUUUAGCUCAGUGGUAGAGCGCUCGGUUUGCAUCCGAGAGGCCGUGGUUUCAAUCACCACAUCCUCCA